RNAcentral lists this non-coding RNA (148 nucleotides) under Pan troglodytes (chimpanzee). The record is from Rfam by way of RNAcentral. Lineage: Eukaryota; Metazoa; Chordata; Mammalia; Primates; Hominidae.
GCCAGGUGUGGUGGCGGGCACCUGUAAUCCCAGCUACUCAGGAGGCUGAGGCAGGAGAAUCACUUGAACCCAGGAGGUGGAGGUUGUGGUGAGCCGAUAUUGUGCCACUGCACUCCAGCCUGGGUGACAGAGUGAGACUCUGUUUCAC